RNAcentral lists this ribosomal RNA (252 nucleotides) under uncultured bacterium. RNAcentral's name for it is "partial 16S ribosomal RNA". It matches the Rfam family "Bacterial small subunit ribosomal RNA", at positions 524 to 776 of the family's 1533-position model. The record is from RNAcentral.
UACGGAGGAUGCGAGCGUUAUCCGGAUUUAUUGGGUUUAAAGGGUGCGUAGGCGGGCUUUUAGGUCAGCGGUAAAAAUUCGGGGCUCAACCCCGUCCGGCCGUUGAAACUGGGGGCCUUGAGUGGGCGAGAAGAAGGCGGAAUGCGUGGUGUAGCGGUGAAAUGCAUAGAUAUCACGCAGAACCCCGAUUGCGAAGGCAGCCUUCCGGCGCCCUACUGACGCUGAGGCACGAAAGUGCGGGGAUCGAACAGG